This 24-nucleotide non-coding RNA is filed under the name Arabidopsis thaliana (thale cress). Lineage: Eukaryota; Viridiplantae; Streptophyta; Magnoliopsida; Brassicales; Brassicaceae. The record is from RNAcentral.
GAGUGUGAGCAUGCCUGUCGGGAC